UCGCUUUGAGAAAAGAGACAAUGACUGAGCAAACACUGCCACCAGCGCUAUUACUGGGAAUUCGGAGACCUGAAUUUUCGCCACACUCUCAGUGCAAACUCUGGCGAUGCUCCACCCACAGUGAACUACGUCCUGUGCCUCCUGGUUGCCAAGUGUUCACCUGGACCGUCUGACCACCUUUGUGCUAUUCCAUCAGCCUACAGAUCUGGUACCUGGAUUUUUGCCCAUGGUGAUUCUACCACCUUACUACUGAAGAAGACAUCAUUCCAGUGGACCACUGUGACCCAGGAGGCAUCCAGCGAAUCAUCAUGAUGUGGCCUUCACCUCCACUCCUGUACUGUUCUACCGAGAUUCAACACAGCCUUUUGUAGUGAAGUCAAACUCCUCAAGCCAAAUAGCUGAAGCUAUUUUAUCACAACAAAGGCUGUUUGUUCCAUGAGUGUGCAUUUCGUUUCUUCAGUUAAAGCCUUCAGAGACACGUAAUAAAUUUGGACCAGGGGAUUUUUAGUUAUCAGCACUGUCUGAAGAAUGGCAACAUCUUUUUGAGAACCACAUUGGACCAUGCCCCACUAUCUUAAAUGAUUGAAAUUCAGGAAGUAUCUAAUCUGGACCCCAUUCUUUUUCCAUGUCAAAUCUGUAGUAACCUACUGAAUGAGCAAGCAGAUAUUCUGACCCAUUGGGAUUAAAACAAAGGCACAGUGAACUCUCAGCAUCUUCUUUGGGAUUACUCAGGAACCAGAACUUUUCACACAAAUGUAAGAAAUUCUACCAAGGAAUCCCUUUACCUAACAGCAUCUCACAAAGCUCCAAUCAGAUUCCAGAAAAGGCCUCUUGAUACAUCCAGGUAGAACCUAUAUGGUAAUCCCUUAUGUUUAUAUAGCACUUUACAGUUUCAAAGCACUUUUACAUGCAUUAAUGUCAAUUAUCAAAUAACACAAAUUAUAAUCCCUUUUUGCAAAUGAGGAAAUGGAAAUUUAAAAGGUUAUCCGAGGUGACACAGCUACAAAGUGGUAGAGGCCAGGCCUUCUGACUCCUAGUCCAGUUCUCUCCUUGGAAUUAACUUAGCCUCUAUUUUACCCAGUGUUAAAAUAACUGGAGAGUGGGAACCCCAGAAAAGUUUCCAACUUCCUGAUCUGGUGCCCUCGAUCAGUCAGGAUGUCAUACAUGUAAUCUUGUGAUAGCUGUACCUAGACCAGAAUUCCAUUACAGCAUCUCUGACAUUUAGGAGUAGACUGUCCAGUCAACAAAACAAAUGUUCAUUUGACAGCAAGAUUACCCAUUACGAAACACAAAGCUGCUUUUAGAUCUUUCAUGUAUCUUCAUGGUCUUCCCAAAGAUGGCCUAGUUGAUUGGAGAUCCCUGUUCAUAUCAUGUCUUUUUUUUUUUUUUUCUUUUAAUUCUUACUAAUAUUCCUGGACACCAAGAUCUACCUGUGGUCCUCUAUCCCCAAACUAAUAUUUACAUAGAAUGAGCCAUCAAUUUUUUUAGAACAGUACUGUUCAUAUAUAUGUGUGUGUGUGUGUAUAUAUUUGAUAUACACAUGUAAUAUAUAUCAUAGAGCUUCUGUAGUCCAGUAAGGUGGUAAAAUACUGUAAAUGUGUCCCCUUCCCUGAUUCAUAAUGCAGUGUAGUGUAUUAAAGGAUCUCAGAAGGCUUGUGGUAAAGAGCCUCAUUUAGCUGUUUGGUCCAGUGUGUCCUAAGUUUAAUCAAGCACAGAAAGUUAUUUUUGCAGCAUUCCUUUUAAUGGAAUGGGAAAACUGCUCUAAAGCAGUAUAGCCAGUGCUUCCUGGUUGCCAACAGAUUACCCUGGAGACCCAGGAAUAAACAGCAUCUUUGAAACCCCCCCUUUGUUUACCUUGUCAAUAACUACUUGAAUUAGUAUGUCUUCCUCAUCUGAGAGCCCCACAUCUUGACAGUUACCUUUGUUUUCUGUCAAAGAAACCUCUAGAAGAUUUGUGGGGAUACAUGGGAUGGGGAUGGGGGGAGUUAAUUCUGCCACAAAAUUAGAUGAAUUCCAUGACAUUUAGCAAUAUACUUUUCUGUCCGUAGAAUUGUGCUGUAAAUCUAGUUUAAGGGAAUUGCAUCUCAGGUGGGUGAGGAGACUGGGAAGGGAAGGGAGGAGGAGAAUAGAGAAGAGGGGGAGGAGGGGUGAGAAGGAGAUAUUUUCUUAGGAUUUGAGUUGUGGCCCACUGAGAUCUUAUUAAUACUUGAAGAGAAGUCAUCCAGCCAGGGAAUUUUUGAAAUAAUAUUAACAAAGAAAUGAAUGCAUUUUGCAGCUGUAUGCUGACUGCAAAAACCCCAGCACUAUUGUCACUUAAAACCAAUAGCCUUGUUCUCUGAUAGUCACUUACAAGCCCAAUUUCAGGCAAUCUGAAUUUGUAGCAGACUUGAAUGUUAACUUCAUCAUUUUGUAAUGUGGCCCACAUUAGGGAAAGAAUAAAUAGGAAAACACCUUGGCUUACCACAGGCUUUGCUCACACAGUUUCUGGUUUCUGUGACCUAUUUUUUGUAUUUCAGCAUUUUGUGAACAACUUAUUCUUAGAUCAUUGGUUUUCCAAAGUCUUUGUGGCCAUGAAGCCCUUUGAAUGAAAACUUUAUGGAAGCCCAGAGUAAAAGUGAAGCUGCUCUGGAGGAAGCAGAAGUGGGGGGCCUGAAACCUGCCACAAGCAUCUUACUUUACCACCAUGGUGACACCUAAGGAGACUUCUUUACAACAACUAGAACUCUUCAGAACACAGUUUGAAAACCACUGCCCUAGACAACAGUAUGUUCGACCUGAAUGGCAUUCUGUUCUGUACCUCUACCCAACACCAUCCAUGUUCAGUUGAUGCCGAAUGUUCUUAGGAAUACUUACUGUGGGCAAACUCAGAAAAGUACAAGAAGAUGGGCAUAUCUUUGCCCCCCAGAGUAGUCAUAUGGGCCGAAAGUGGUAUCAAAUGGACCUAGAGUAAUAGCCCUCUACCUACAGAUGGACUUCCAGUGAUUCCUGGAUUUGAUAUAGCCAGAGAGCAAUUCAUACAUACUCUACACUGACAAACCCCCUUACCCAGCUUCUUUCACAAACACCAGAUGCUCUAGUGGUACUUGAAAUACAUGACCUUGAAGUCUUGAUCCUCCUUGGAUACAUGAAUCGCCAGGUAUUGAAGCUGAUGCUGAAGUUGAUGUCUCAUUGAGGCCAUAUUAGAGCAACUGUACAUUGGACCACCCAUUCUCAGCCAUGGUACUCUACUUUGUGUGCAAGGGAUAACUAUAAACUGAAAGCAGAAUUCAAAGACUGGCAACAUUAUCUAAAAGGGUACCUGGUUAUUAUUCAUAUUCUCAGACUAUGUCACUAUCACUCAACCAGUGGCAGUUACACUACUUCUUGGUUUUUAUUCAGUUUAACUGCUGUUUCCAGGAUAAAUGAGCUAAUAACCUUUGAAAAAUCGCUAAAACAAUUCCUCAGUCACUGGCACAUCUGCCUAGUCUCCAAAAUUAUGAAUACUCAGUUCUAACUGCAUGUAAUACCUGAUCCACAAGAGACAGUCUCUGAACAUCCUUUCUCGUCUGUGUGAUUUAAAAUGUGACCAUUUCGAAAAUUUUCUUCCAGCCAAGAGAGAUUUUAAGAUGGGUGUUUUGAUGUCUGGUACCAUCAGCUGUUGAUGUUAAUGAUGUUUGGAGGUAGGCCUUUUGACCAGGCCAUGAUAGCUUACUUGGUGGGCAUCUCAAAUUGCAUAUCAUCUACCUUUUUGCUGGAAGUGUAGACUGACUGGAAAUCUACAAAGCCUGCAGCUAAAGAUUUUAUCAGUAGACUCAAGAGCUUCCUGCUGUUGCUUCCUAAUGUCACAAGACCACAGUCCCUUGUCCUUGUGGAUGUUUUCAUGGAAUUUCAUCUGUCUCAGUACUAUUGUUUUACACUGAAUCAGAGUGGCUGACUUCAUUCCUUGUCUUGAAAUACUCUCAGGCAUUAAGACAACUUACCUGUUCAGGAGGGAUUUGAUUCAUGAACUCCUCCCAGACCAGAUCAUGUAGAACAAGUAGACUUUGAUUUGUGCCAUGAGAAAAGUCUCAUUUCUUCAGAGUCAACUUAAGGGCCCGCUGUCCUCAGCUACUUUAACGAAUGCACUGGUUAAAUGUUGGAAAUGUUUCUUUAUAUCUUUUGUCUCUUAUCCUCUAGACUAAUUGUGAUUAUAUGAGUCAGUCUACAAAUCAUCAAACAAGGCCUAAGUCUGGUUACUUUAUACUGCUCACCCUCAACAAAUAAAAUCUGAUGACUGGCCUGCUUGUAUGUACAACUGUUAUUUGUAAAGAAGAAAUUAUCUACAAGCUUAGUUUUUCUAUUGCCUUCAAAAUGUCAGCUCGAUUUUCUUUUUCUCCUGUACUUGACCGAAAAAGACAUUGAUCUACACUGGCAGUCAUUCCCUUUAAUCCUGUCAAAAUGAGGGACUAAAGGUAAAGAUGAUCAUCUGUUCAAGAGUCUGAUGUACACUGUGUGUAAGAAUUGAUGGUGGAAAAAGCAUAAAACUCAAACCUAGUAUCUUACUAUCUCCAUGCCUCAGAUCUCAUCUUUCAGCAGUACCAUUCAACCAAUCUGAGGCCUUGACUUGUUGAUAAGAUGAUUCUCAGAGAUGGGCUGAGUUACAGAAGAUGGAGACUUGAUUACCAAAGAAAGUAGGGCCAACCUUGAUGAACCUGGCUCUCCCAACCCUAUCACUCCCAGAUGUAGCAUAGACUCCUAAACAGAACCUCAAGUCUGGAUUAAGGAGAUAGCCUUCUCCUGAGCUGAAAGUUCUUGGGCAGAUGAGCAGGAAAAUGAAAGUUGCUGUACCUGACUGGCCCUUUAAGAUCAGAAAAUUUUAUCCAGAAUAAACGCUGUGGAUUAACCCUGGAGUACUCAGGGUUAAAACUAAUGUACAGAGUUUCGAUAUUAAACUGCCUGUUCUUCUAGAUCAUAGCCUGGCUAUUGAUAUGGCUGGCCCUGCUGAAAGUACCUUACUUACUUGCCUAUUUACCUGACACAGCCCUUGCCUGCUUUUUUGACAUAUUGCUGCAAUCAGACUGGCUGUCCUUGAGAAGACUAUAGCUGAUCUUGGUCUAUCUUAUACCCAGUUCCACCAAGGGGUUUUGAACAGAAGCAGCCUGCACCUCACCCACCAGGACUUAAUGUUCACAACAGGAAGGACCGUGCUGUAUACUCCUUGACCAGCAGCUUUUUUUUUUUUUAACUGCAGAGUAAGCCUCUAUGCCUAUAUAUAUUAGGUCAUUUUCAGCACUUGGGACCCUUUCUACCAGAUCUGAAGGAGCAGAGCAGAUUGAAGUCACUGUCCAUUCCUCUGUUCUACAGUAAUACAGAGAUGAAUCUGAUUUGCCAGUACUCAACAGAAAUGUACCAGUUCAACCUGGCAAAAGACUCAAAGGAACAUAAGAAAACUUUUCCACUGAGCUUAAAAUUUACCACUGACUUGAUGAGCGUCACAGAACUAUUUGCCAGUGGGAGGCUGGUUGUCCUGCUUCAUGUCAGCAAGACAGUUGGGCUCUCAAACUCACGACCACUGAGUUUACUUACAUUGAAACUCUGUUGUAUCAUCCAGAGUAUGCUAUUGGACAUGAUUAUUCCAUUCAAAUGGAUUACAAGCCUCCUGAGUAGAAGACAAACUUACUCCUCAUGAUUUUUUCCAGAAUACAUUUAUUGUCAAGGAAGGAACAGUGCCAGCUGUUACCAUUCAACUUUAUGAGCAGAGAUUAAACUUUUUCAAUAUCUGGUCUUACCACUGACAUCAGUUGUUUUUGAUUGACCAGCAUCAAUUCCAUCCCUUUGCAACAACUCCCUGAUGUUUCUUGGAACCUCGUCUCCUUCUUUUCAGUCCAUGUGGUUCAAUCUGACCUAAUCUUAGGUUUCAUGGGUGGACAUUUAAUUCAGACCUAAUCAAUCAGCACAGUCCAUCUCCUUGACCAUAGUGAUUCGUUCAGGAAUGGUCAUGUGAUUCAAGCUGGUCCAGUGAUACCCAACCCUAAGAGUUUAGUGAACUGUGGAGGAGAAGCUCAGAAGCUCUACUGAGGUUGCUUAGCUCUGUAGGAUGAAAAGCUCAGACCAACAGGGCCCACCAUAUCGAAUGAGCCAGUCAAAGAAUGAAGCCAGUACAGAGGAAAGCAGAGCCAAAUGUUGGAGAGACUUGAGUCCUGAUGACAAUGUUUGUGCCCCUGGAUCCAACCGUGCCUGAAGCUAGUAUAUCCCCUGGACUUUUCAGUUAUGUGAACCAAUAAAUACCCUUCUUUGCUUAAGUUA
Balaenoptera ricei (Rice's whale) is the source of this 6264-nucleotide long non-coding RNA. RefSeq lists it as uncharacterized. The transcript has 2 exons. The record is from RefSeq and is a predicted model, not a curated record. Lineage: Eukaryota; Metazoa; Chordata; Mammalia; Artiodactyla; Balaenopteridae.